UGAUGCCCUACUGCACAGUCCUGUGAUGACUGACUGCUCAACUGCACAGUACUGUGAUAACUGAUCGCCUAACUG
This is a non-coding RNA of Mus musculus (house mouse), 75 nucleotides long. Lineage: Eukaryota; Metazoa; Chordata; Mammalia; Rodentia; Muridae. The record is from RefSeq and is marked provisional.